UACGGGAGGCAGCAGUGGGGAAUAUUGCACAAUGGGCGCAAGCCUGAUGCAGCCAUGCCGCGUGUAUGAAAAAGGCCUUCGGGUUGUAAAGUACUUUCAGUCGUGAGGAAGGUGUUAAGGUUAAUAACCUUAGCAAUUGACGUUAGCGACAGAAGAAGCACCGGCUAACUCCGUGCCAGCAGCCGCGGUAAUACGGAGGGUGCGAGCGUUAAUCGGAAUUACUGGGCGUAAAGGGCACGCAGGCGGUUAAUUAAGUUGGAUGUGAAAUCCCCGGGCUUAACCUGGGAAUGGCAUUCAAGACUGGUUAGCUAGAGUCUUGUAGAGGGGGUAGAAUUCCAUGUGUAGCGGUGAAAUGCGUAGAGAUGUGGAGGAAUACCGGUGGCGAAGGCGGCCCCUGGGACAAAGACUGACGCUCAUGUGCGAAAGCGUGGGGAGCAAACGAGGGAUUAGAUACCC
Molecule: ribosomal RNA, 456 nt
Filed under: uncultured bacterium
Lineage: Bacteria
Description: bacterial SSU rRNA
Rfam family: Bacterial small subunit ribosomal RNA
Source: RNAcentral